GCCAGGCAUGGUGGCGCGUGCCUGCAGUCCCAGCUACUCGGGAGUAGCUGGAGGCUGAGGCUGGAGGAUCUCUUGAGCCCAGGAGUUCUGGGCUGUAGUGCGCUAUGCCGAUCGGGUGUCCGCACUAAGUUUGGCAUCAAUACGGUGAACUCCCAGGAGCAGGGGACCACCGGGUUGCCCAAGGAGGGGUGAAUCGGCCCAGGUCAUAAAUGGAGCAGGUCAAAACUCCUGUGCUGAUCAGCAGUGGGAUCGCACCUAUGAAUAGCCACUGCACUCCAGCCUGGGCAAUAUAGCCAGACCGGGUCUCUU
Callithrix jacchus (white-tufted-ear marmoset) is the source of this 309-nucleotide unclassified non-coding RNA. It matches the Rfam family "Metazoan signal recognition particle RNA". From Rfam's summary of the family: The signal recognition particle (SRP) is a universally conserved ribonucleoprotein. It is involved in the co-translational targeting of proteins to membranes. The record is from Ensembl. NCBI's taxonomy places the organism in Eukaryota, Metazoa, Chordata, Mammalia, Primates, Cebidae.